GAAAUGCGAGAAGUAGUGUGAAUUGUAGAAUUCAGUGAAUCAUCGAAUCUUUGAACGCACAUUGCGCCCUUUGGUAUUCCAAAGGGCAUGCCUGUUCGAGCGUCAUUUGUACCCUCAAGCUUUGCUUGGUGUUGGGCGUCUUGUCUCUAGCUUUGCUGGAGACUCGCCUUAAAGUAAUUGGCAGCCGGCCUACUGGUUUCGGAGCGCAGCACAAGUCGCACUCUCUAUCAGCAAAGGUCUAGCAUCCAUUAAGCCUUUUUUCAACUUUUGACCUCGGAUCAGGUAGGGAUACCCGCUGAACUUAAGC
Molecule: unclassified non-coding RNA, 307 nt
Filed under: plant metagenome
Description: partial contains 5.8S ribosomal RNA, internal transcribed spacer 2, and large subunit ribosomal RNA
Rfam family: 5.8S ribosomal RNA (bases 1-105)
Source: RNAcentral